GCUUAGCGAUAUUGCAUCCUAACUGCACCUAUUAUUGCUAUUAUAUUAUACUACCCUUUAUACUACCACAACCUCUGAUGCUUUCAUAUGUCACUUGGGCUACCCCUUUUAGGGCUAUAACUACAAUAUACAUGUGUCUUUAGAUACUGGUUACUUUUCAUCGCACAUGUUAGAUCUCUUUCUAUUUCAGUCUCUUCCAUCCAGUGAAAG
Molecule: long non-coding RNA, 210 nt
Filed under: Ricinus communis (castor bean)
Lineage: Eukaryota; Viridiplantae; Streptophyta; Magnoliopsida; Malpighiales; Euphorbiaceae
Description: long non-coding RNA (RCOM_LNC002945)
Source: RNAcentral